AGACCGAUAGCGAACAAGUAGAGUGAUCGAAAGAUGAAAAGAACUUUGAAAAGAGAGUUAAACAGUAUGUGAAAUUGUUGAAAGGGAAGCGCUUGCAACCAGACUUGAGCGCGACGGUUCCCCUAGCCUUUUGGCUAGGUUACUCUGUCGUGUCCAGGCCAACAUCGGUUCUGAGGGCCGGUCAAAGGCCCCGGGAAUGUACCUACCCACGGGUAGACUUAUAGACCGGGGUGUCAUGCGGCCUCUCGGGACCGAGGAACGCGCUUCGGCUCGGAUGUUGGCGUAAUGGUUGUCAGCGACCCGUCUUGAAACACGGACCAAG
RNAcentral lists this ribosomal RNA (322 nucleotides) under Phialophora verrucosa. Its description in RNAcentral is "LSU rRNA". It matches the Rfam family "Eukaryotic large subunit ribosomal RNA", at positions 331 to 670 of the family's 3401-position model. Lineage: Eukaryota; Fungi; Ascomycota; Eurotiomycetes; Chaetothyriales; Herpotrichiellaceae. The record is from RNAcentral.